GAGGGUAUAGCUCAGUGGCAGAGUGUGUGCUUAGCAUGCACAAGGUCCUGGGUUCAAUCCCCAAUACCUCCA
Molecule: transfer RNA, 72 nt
Filed under: Camelus bactrianus (Bactrian camel)
Lineage: Eukaryota; Metazoa; Chordata; Mammalia; Artiodactyla; Camelidae
Also listed under: 2 other names
Rfam family: tRNA
About the family: Transfer RNA (tRNA) molecules are approximately 80 nucleotides in length. Their secondary structure includes four short double-helical elements and three loops (D, anti-codon, and T loops).
Source: Rfam by way of RNAcentral